This 460-nucleotide ribosomal RNA is filed under the name uncultured bacterium. RNAcentral's name for it is "partial 16S ribosomal RNA". It matches the Rfam family "Bacterial small subunit ribosomal RNA", at positions 338 to 795 of the family's 1533-position model. The record is from RNAcentral.
CCUACGGGUGGCAGCAGUGAGGAAUAUUGGUCAAUGGGCGCGAGCCUGAACCAGCCAAGUAGCGUGAAGGAUGACUGCCCUACGGGUUGUAAACUUCUUUUAUAAAGGAAUAAAGUGAGGCAUGCGUGCCUUUUUGUAUGCACUUUAUGAAUAAGGAUCGGCUAAACCCGUGCAAGCAGCCGCGGUAAUACGGAGGAUCCGAGCGUUAUCCGGAUUUAUUGGGGUUAAAGGGAGCGUAGAUGGGUUGUUAAGUCAGUUGUGAAAGUUUGCGGCUCAACCGUAAAAUUGCAAUUGAUACUGGCAGCGUUGAGUGCAGUUGAGGUAAGCGGAAUUCGUGGUGUAGCGGUGAAAUGCUUAGAUAUCACGAAGAACUCCGAUUGCGAAGGCGGCCUACUAGACUGCAACUGACAUUGAUGCUCGAAAGUGUGGGUAUCAAACAGGAUUAGAUACCCCAGUAGUC